GAUGAACGCUAGCGACAGGCUUAACACAUGCAAGUCGAGGGGCAGCGAGGGCGUAGCAAUACGCCUGUCGGCGACCGGCGCACUGGUGAGUAACACGUAUGCGACCUGCCCCCUACAAGGGUAUAACCCCGUAGAAAUGCGGACUAAUCCCCCAUAGUCCCGCGGGCUGCAUGGCCUGCGGGGGAAAGGUUUCCGGUAGGGGAUGGGCAUGCGGCGCAUUAGCUAGUUGGCGGGGCAAACGGCCCACCAAGGGCGACGAUGCGUAGGGGUUCUGAGAGGAAGGUCCCCCACACUGGGUACUGAGACACGGACCAGACUCCUACGGGAGGCAGCAGUGAGGAAUAUUGG
This 348-nucleotide ribosomal RNA is filed under the name uncultured bacterium. RNAcentral describes it as "bacterial SSU rRNA". It matches the Rfam family "Bacterial small subunit ribosomal RNA", at positions 28 to 367 of the family's 1533-position model. The record is from RNAcentral.